This 492-nucleotide ribosomal RNA is filed under the name uncultured bacterium. RNAcentral describes it as "partial 16S ribosomal RNA". It matches the Rfam family "Bacterial small subunit ribosomal RNA", at positions 29 to 507 of the family's 1533-position model. The record is from RNAcentral.
AGUGAACGCUGGCGGUGGGCCUAACACAUGCAAGUCGAACGGCAGCACAGUAAGAGCUUGCUCUUACGGGUGGCGAGUGGCGGACGGGUGAGGAAUACAUCGGAAUCUACUUUUUCGUGGGGGAUAACGUAGGGAAACUUACGCUACUACCGCAUACGACCUACGGGUGAAAGCAGGGGAUCUUCGGACCUUGCGCGAUUGAAUGAGCCGAUGUCGGAUUAGCUAGUUGGCGGGGUAAAGGCCCACCAAGGCGACGAUCCGUAGCUGGUCUGAGAGGAUGAUCAGCCACACUGGAACUGAGACACGGUCCAGACUCCUACGGGAGGCAGCAGUGGGGAAUAUUGGACAAUGGGCGCAAGCCUGAUCCAGCCAUACCGCGUGAGUGAAGAAGGCCUUCGGGUUGUAAAGCCCUUUUGUUGGGAAAGAAAAGCAGCAGGUUAAUACCCCGCUGUUCUGACGGUACCCAAAGAAUAAGCACCGGCUAACUUCGUG